RNAcentral lists this ribosomal RNA (216 nucleotides) under Glomeromycotina sp. RNAcentral's name for it is "partial small subunit ribosomal RNA". The stretch from base 40 to 216 matches the Rfam family "Eukaryotic small subunit ribosomal RNA", at positions 686 to 864 of the family's 1831-position model. Lineage: Eukaryota; Fungi; Glomeromycota. The record is from RNAcentral.
GGGUCAGUAGGUUGGUCGUGCCACCGGUACGUACUGGUCUCACUGAUUCCUCCUUCCUGAAGAACCGUAAUGCCAUUAAUUUGGCGUUGCGGGGAAACAGGACUGUUACUUUGAAAAAAUUAGAGUGUUUAAAGCAAGCUGACGCUUGAAUACAUUAGCAUGGAAUAAUGAAAUAGGACGAUCGAUCCUAUUUUGUUGGUUUCUAGGAUUGACGUA